GAAAUGCGAUAAGUAAUGUGAAUUGCAGAAUUCAGUGAAUCAUCGAAUCUUUGAACGCACAUUGCGCCCGCCAGUAUUCUGGCGGGCAUGCCUGUCCGAGCGCCAUUUCAACCAUCAAGCCCCCGGGCUUGUGUUGGGGACCUGCGGCUGCCCGCAGGCCCUGAAAACCAGUGGCGGGCUCGCUGUCACACCGAGCGUAGUAGCAAUCACCUCGCUCAGGGCGUGCUGCGGGUUCCGGCCGUUAAACAGCCUUACAAAACCCAAGGUUGACCUCGGAUCAGGUAGGAAGACCCGCUGAACUUAAGC
Molecule: unclassified non-coding RNA, 306 nt
Filed under: plant metagenome
Description: partial contains 5.8S ribosomal RNA, internal transcribed spacer 2, and large subunit ribosomal RNA
Rfam family: 5.8S ribosomal RNA (bases 1-105)
Source: RNAcentral